AUUGAACGCUGGCGGCAGGCCUAACACAUGCAAGUCGAGCGGAUGAAGGGAGCUUGCUCCUGGAUUCAGCGGCGGACGGGUGAGUAAUGCCUAGGAAUCUGCCUGGUAGUGGGGGAUAACGUCCGGAAACGGGCGCUAAUACCGCAUACGUCCUGAGGGAGAAAGUGGGGGAUCUUCGGACCUCACGCUAUCAGAUGAGCCUAGGUCGCAUUAGCUAGUUGGUGGGGUAAAGGCCUACCAAGGCGACGAUCCGUAACUGGUCUGAGAGGAUGAUCAGUCACACUGGAACUGAGACACGGUCCAGACUCCUACGGGAGGCAGCAGUGGGGAAUAUUGGACAAUGGGCGAAAGCCUGAUCCAGCCAUGCCGCGUGUGUGAAGAAGGUCUUCGGAUUGUAAAGCACUUUAAGUUGGGAGGAAGGGCAGUAAGUUAAUACCUUGCUGUUUUGACGUUACCGACAGAAUAAGCACCGGCUAACUUCGUG
This 484-nucleotide ribosomal RNA is filed under the name uncultured bacterium. RNAcentral's name for it is "partial 16S ribosomal RNA". It matches the Rfam family "Bacterial small subunit ribosomal RNA", at positions 30 to 507 of the family's 1533-position model. The record is from RNAcentral.